RNAcentral lists this transfer RNA (83 nucleotides) under Streptomyces sp. B3I7. Its description in RNAcentral is "tRNA-Leu". It matches the Rfam family "tRNA". From Rfam's summary of the family: Transfer RNA (tRNA) molecules are approximately 80 nucleotides in length. RNAcentral also lists the same sequence under 1 other name. The record is from RNAcentral. Lineage: Bacteria; Bacillati; Actinomycetota; Actinomycetes; Kitasatosporales; Streptomycetaceae.
GCGGUCGUGGCGAAAUGGCAUACGCUCGGGCUUUAGAUGCCCGCGGGAGUAAUCCCAUGUGGGUUCGAAUCCCACCGACCGCA